AAUUAGAAAGCGAAUAUUUGCAUUUAGUUUCGACCUAAAAAUUUGGCCUGGCCUCUAAUUU
RNAcentral lists this transfer RNA (61 nucleotides) under Nanhaipotamon hongkongense. RNAcentral describes it as "tRNA-Arg". RNAcentral also lists the same sequence under 1 other name. The record is from RNAcentral. Lineage: Eukaryota; Metazoa; Arthropoda; Malacostraca; Decapoda; Potamidae.